RNAcentral lists this long non-coding RNA (921 nucleotides) under Homo sapiens (human). RNAcentral describes it as "HSALNT0392098". Lineage: Eukaryota; Metazoa; Chordata; Mammalia; Primates; Hominidae. The record is from RNAcentral.
CAGCCUGGGCAACAAGAGUGAAACUCCGUCUCAAAAAAAAAAAAAGUUUUGUGUUAUAUGGAUUCCAGUUCUCAGCUGAAAAAUCUCCACCUUUUCAUCUACUUUCUCCCUUGCUUCCUCCAUCUAAACAAAAACGCACAGAGUUCGAACUCUAAACAAAAACUCACAGAGAGUUCAGGGGUUCUCUGCUGCGACUUCCACUCUCUGGCUUUGUGUGCAUCCGUUUCCACGGGCUAUUUUUCCUCUUGAUUUUUGGCCCUGUGGUCUCUGAAUGCUGGAUGUCAUGCGCUGAAGCCUGGAGACUCCAGAUCCGGGGUCAGCAAACUGCAGCGGGGGGCAGCCGCCUGCUUUUGUGAACGCAGCGUAUUGAAACACACCCAUGCCCAUUUGUUCACAGAUGCUCUGUGGCUGCGUGUGCCCUACAGCAGCACGGUUCAGUAGGCAGAGGCCACUUCUACUACCCGGCUAAGGAAAAGAUGGGCAGAGCCUGCUCUGGAUGACGCUGUGUUCCAGCCGGCGGAGAGGGUCCCCCAUUUCCUCGGAACUAAUCCUCCAGGAAAUUAACAGACAGUUUGCUGUGGACAACUAGAGCCCUCCCCUUCCUUAGCCCUGAGCGAGGUAAACAAUUCUGCUCUGCCUUCCGGAAGUUUCAAAUUAGCUCUUCAACCAGCGUUUUCACGCAGCUUCCAGUCCUGCCACAGUCUUGAAGAAGAGAUCAGCUUUCGCGUCUUCAUUCUUGCCAAGAUUAGCUGCCCUUCGAAUCUCCCGUGUGUCAUUAAUCCCAGCACGAACAAGCACUUGGGAACUGCGGGCUGCAGAUGGUCUGCUUAUCCUACGGAACCCUCCUCUUUUGAGGCUUAACCCCUUUAGUCUUUGUUGCUUCUGUAGCUUUCUGAUGCCAUUAAAGAGAUGAUUUUUAUA